AGGAAACAAAAGACUACCGUACCCAUCAGACUGAACAAGAGACAAUUAGCUGCUGAUAAGGAAUGGAAAAUUUCAUGCAGAUCCAACAAGGAGCUUCGAGAGAGAGAAUGGGUCAUGGGGUGAGUAGUGGAGGGGGCCAGAGCUCAUUGGGCUACCUCUUUUGGAAAUGAUUCUGUUAAUAUAAUUUGUGGAAAUUGCUUGGAUGAAUUUUUUACGAACAGUUAAAAUGAAAUUGCUAUAGAACUUGUAAAUUAUAGCAAUUUAA
This 265-nucleotide long non-coding RNA is filed under the name Amborella trichopoda. RNAcentral's name for it is "long non-coding RNA (ATRI_LNC001003)". The record is from RNAcentral. Lineage: Eukaryota; Viridiplantae; Streptophyta; Magnoliopsida; Amborellales; Amborellaceae.